This 355-nucleotide unclassified non-coding RNA is filed under the name Hevea brasiliensis (rubber tree). Lineage: Eukaryota; Viridiplantae; Streptophyta; Magnoliopsida; Malpighiales; Euphorbiaceae. The record is from RNAcentral.
AUUUUUUAGGUGAAAAAAAAUUCAAUUUUAACCCAAAACUUAAUCAGCCGGUUCUAGUCUAAUUCCAUCGUGAUUCAAGUCAAUUACGAUUUUGACCAAUUUAAAUUCAAUUUGAACCAUUUUGAUUUCACUUCUGACCAGGCCCCUGGCCGGAUCUAAAACAGCAAGAUUUUCACCUAAAUAUCGAGUGCAAAUUAAGGUAGUUAGGUAGUUGAGCUGGUUGUCAUUAAGAGAUUGAAAUGAAAUAUGUAGCCUUUUUUCAUGAUUUGGUUCUAUCAAUAAAUAAGGAUUAUGAUUUCUGAAAUGCAACAAAUGGCUUCUUCACACUCACAGCAGCAACGUUCCCAUGUCCCAA